RNAcentral lists this ribosomal RNA (200 nucleotides) under uncultured organism. Its description in RNAcentral is "partial small subunit ribosomal RNA". It matches the Rfam family "Bacterial small subunit ribosomal RNA", at positions 1183 to 1382 of the family's 1533-position model. The record is from RNAcentral.
CGUCAAGUCAGGAUGGCCCUUACGGCCUGGGCUGCACACGUGCUACAAUGCCCGAUACAGAGGGACGCAAUACCGCGAGGUGGAGCAAAUCCUAAAAAUCGGGCUCAGUUCAGAUUGUAGUCUGCAACUCGACUACAUGAAGCUGGAAUCGCUAGUAAUGGCGCAUCAGCUACGGCGCCGUGAAUACGUUCCCGGGCCUU